UUAUUUGAGAGUUUGAUCCUGGCUCAGGAUGAACGCUGGCGGCGUGCCUAACACAUGCAAGUCGAACGAAGCGCCUUUUGAGAUUCUUCGGAUGAUCAUUUGGUGACUGAGUGGCGGACGGGUGAGUAACGCGUGGGUAACCUGCCCUGUACAGGGGGAUAACAGCCAGAAAUGGCUGCUAAUACCGCAUAAGCGCACGUGAGGACAUCCUCAAGUGUGAAAAACUCCGGUGGUACAGGAUGGGCCCGCGUCUGAUUAGCUGGUUGGCGGGGUAACGGCCCACCAAGGCGACGAUCAGUAGCCGGUCUGAGAGGAUGAACGGCCACAUUGGAACUGAGACA
RNAcentral lists this non-coding RNA (341 nucleotides) under Eubacteriaceae bacterium CHKCI004. Its description in RNAcentral is "Bacterial small subunit ribosomal RNA". It matches the Rfam family "Bacterial small subunit ribosomal RNA", at positions 1 to 326 of the family's 1533-position model. The record is from Rfam by way of RNAcentral. Lineage: Bacteria; Bacillati; Bacillota; Clostridia; Eubacteriales; Eubacteriaceae.